AUUAAAAUCGUUAUCAGCCCAAAAUGCUAAGUGAUGUGUAUAAAAGGAUAACCAAUUCGAAAACCGACACAGAUCCGUUUUGCAAAAAUUACAACAAUGUUCAAAUACUUGAAAGUUGCUACUGUUGCCGCUAUUGUUCUAAGCAGCCUUAUUAUGUCUGCUUAUGCCCAAGGACAAGGGCAGCAAGGACAGCAAGGACAAGGACAAUAAUUUUAAUUGGAAUAAAGACAAUGCCGCUACGUGUAGGUUAUCCUCCCAGUUUGAAAAUCGAAAACUCAAUAGCUAUGUAAUAUUGGAAUUUGUCUUUAAUAAAUUAUCUAAAGCAUAA
Long non-coding RNA from Tribolium castaneum (red flour beetle), 328 nucleotides. RefSeq lists it as uncharacterized. The record is from RefSeq and is a predicted model, not a curated record. NCBI's taxonomy places the organism in Eukaryota, Metazoa, Arthropoda, Insecta, Coleoptera, Tenebrionidae. The transcript has 3 exons.